Long non-coding RNA from Callithrix jacchus (white-tufted-ear marmoset), 1270 nucleotides. RefSeq lists it as uncharacterized. Lineage: Eukaryota; Metazoa; Chordata; Mammalia; Primates; Cebidae. The record is from RefSeq and is a predicted model, not a curated record.
AGAUUACACCACUGAGACUUCACUGAUGUAUAGUACUUAGGAGUGAGAUGUUAAUCUGACAAAUGACAAUGUAACUCUGGCAUCAUGUUUCCAAAGAAGAUGGUGUGUUCUGGGCUUCCUUGAUUCUCUUCUGAAAGUCAUCUAAAAGAAGACAUCUCUGACACACAGCUGAACAAAGAAGAAAAAGAGAGUUGUAGAGUGUCAGUUUAGUAGAGAAACAUAAUACGUGACACUGAGUCUGUUGAUUAACACUUCUGAAGAGGUGAGUAACCAGAAGUCUGGGGGAAAUGGGAAGGAGACAGGGUUACUGGAAGGAGCAGAAUUAUGGGAGAAGCUUUAUGAGUGAAGUCCCUUGGCUCUGGGCAGCAAUACUGGCAUAUUUCAUCUAGCAGCUUAAUGCUCUGAGAUGGGUAUCCACUGCAAGGAGAGAAGGAAGAGAUUCACUGCCUCUGGUUGGAAGCAGAUCAACCUGCUAAGGCAUGGAAAGCCGACAGUGGCAACAAAUGUGAUAGGGACAUGCAAUAUUUUUGGGCAAUGACAACAAUGUUCCCAGGCCAUACUGGCUUAUGAUGGUUAGGACCACUUCAGUAGACUGGGAGACCAAGAAUUUAUGUGUGAGAUAGAGGAAAAUGAAAAUUCUUGGGUUACAGGGUGAACACACAAGGCUAAAUAGGCAAUCAUGAUACCAUAAAUAAUUCAUCUGGGAAGUCAUAUUUCAGGGCCAAGGUUUUAAAAAUCAUCCAGAAUAGACCCACCAUCUUAGGAAAGUUGAGUAGGCCUUGAAAGAAAACUGAACAGAGAAUCAGAAAGGUAGCUUUCUGGGGGAAUGUAGGUACAGCAGUAAAGACCAGUCUUCGUUCUGUCUAUCUACUGCACCUUAAACUGUGUCAUAAAUAUUGACCAGAAAUAUCAGCAGAUGACAUCUGAAUGCUUUUGAAAUUUUGUUUCUGAGGGUUACUCUUCUAACCUCUCUAUAUGGUCUCUUCAAUCUGGAAUAAUAAACAGUUAUUGGGUGGCAUCCUUAAGUCAGUGAUCUGAUUAGACUAGCAACUUCCAAAGUCCCCACCACCCUUUUUUCUAACACUAUCUGCUGAACUCUAGGAUUGACAGUCUGCGCUUCAGUCUAAAACCGGAGUAGCUCUGCAUCUGUUCGAUGAUGAAUAAUGCAGGGCCCCUUGUUUAUUUGCUUGCUCUGAAAUCUUACCCUGUUUUUCAGCAUCCCUUUCUAGGUCCAAUAUAUAACUAAUUGUUGGCAGAUGUAGAAAGUAUU